This 423-nucleotide long non-coding RNA is filed under the name Equus caballus (horse). Its description in RNAcentral is "lncRNA (ENSECAG00000051992.1)". The record is from RNAcentral. Lineage: Eukaryota; Metazoa; Chordata; Mammalia; Perissodactyla; Equidae.
AUUUAAGCCAGGCCAUGAAGGAUAGGCACUUCAUCACAGAUGGAGGUGGAGAAGGGACUGUCCGAAACACAUGAGCGGAGACAUGGCAGCAAAAAGAGCAAGAAAACAAUGACAUGGGGAGAAAAUGACCAGGAGAGGAAGGAGGAGAACCAUGAGAGUGUGCUGCAGGAGGAAGUGACCUCAGGAACCAACAUGUGCCCCAACACGUCAAACUGGCAAAGAUCAAGGAGGAUGUGGUAGGAGGAGCAAGAGUCACAAAGCAUGUGGCCGAGAGGGACACUGUAGGAUGGUGGAGACUGGGGGUGAUUUUUCAGGUAGAGAGAAAGGAGCCAGCAGAGAAGGCGGGAUUCAAGUUUCAAGGGUAAGAGGAAAGGAAAGAAAUGGAUUACUGAUUAAGAGAUUUUGAAGUGCAGAGAAGUAAAG